RNAcentral lists this ribosomal RNA (340 nucleotides) under uncultured soil bacterium. RNAcentral's name for it is "bacterial SSU rRNA". It matches the Rfam family "Bacterial small subunit ribosomal RNA", at positions 26 to 368 of the family's 1533-position model. The record is from RNAcentral.
AGAUUGAACGCUGGCGGCAGGCCUAACACAUGCAAGUCGAGCGGUAGAGAGGUGCUUGCACCUCUUGAGAGCGGCGGACGGGUGAGUAAUGCCUAGGAAUCUGCCUAGUGGUGGGGGAUAACGUUCGGAAACGGACGCUAAUACCGCAUACGUCCUACGGGAGAAAGCGGGGGACCUUCGGGCCUCGCGCCAUUAGAUGAGCCUAGGUCGGAUUAGCUAGUUGGUGAGGUAAUGGCUCACCAAGGCGACGAUCCGUAACUGGUCUGAGAGGAUGAUCAGUCACACUGGAACUGAGACACGGUCCAGACUCCGUACGGGAGCAGCAGUGGGGAAUAGUUGG